Molecule: long non-coding RNA, 9044 nt
Organism: Brassica napus (rape)
Lineage: Eukaryota; Viridiplantae; Streptophyta; Magnoliopsida; Brassicales; Brassicaceae
Exons: 9
Source: RefSeq, a predicted model, not a curated record
AAUACUAUUAAAAAGGAAAGAGUUUUAAUAAAUCUACUUAAAAAGGUUGUUUGGACCUUUUUAUUAACUAAUGAUAUUUUGGUCUUUCUUUGAUUUGGACAAACAAUGUUACCUUAAAUUUUUCUAACAAUUAUUUAGUCAAAAUUUUUAUUUAUUGGACCUAUUAUACCAUAUAUAUACGACUACAUAAAUUUAAUUCACAAAAAUAUAAUAUCACAUACGUUUUAUUAUAUUCUUCUCUAAAUAUGUCUCAUUAACUUCAUAAUUACGAUAAAUUUAAAAAUUAUAUAUUAUGUUAAUUUUAUUUUAUUGAUAAAUAACAAUUUAGUAUUUAAGAUAAGUUUAAAAUUAUCAAAAACCCAACAAAUCUUUUUUUACUGCUCGGCAAAAAAACCUACAAAUAUAUACUAUUAAUUUAGCCAAAAACCUCUCAAAUAAAUCUUAAGUUUCACCAACUGAACAAAUGUAACUUUUAUAAAAUACAUAAAAAUAUAAUGAAAUGUUAGAUUUGGGCAUUUGGGUCUUUGGAUCAAAUAUAAAUCGGUUUCUUUGAGGUACAAGUUCUUUGGGUCUUGGACAUAUCCAACUAGGUAUUUGAAUUUUUUUUUUGUUCAUAUCAGUUCAUUUUAGUUCUAGGUCAGUUUGAGUCCAUAAUUCAAGUAUCUGUAAAAUUUACUAUGUAAUUUGGCUACGUAAUGAGUCUAGCUGUUCGAGUAUUUAGGACAAAAAGAUGUAAAGAUUCUGAAAAUCCAAAAAAUCAGAGCACAAAAAUACCCAAAAUCAAACAAAUACAAGAAAUAACUAAAUAUCUAAAAGACCAAAAUCUUAUCCGAGAACCAAAAAUAUCAAAUAUUUUAAAUAUAUUUUUAAAAUUUGAAAUUUUACCCAAAACCUGAAACUAUAACAGAAAAAGUGAAUCCAAAAUUUACAAUAAUAUGUUUAUACUGAGAACAUAUAUGAAUUACUCAAAUAUACAUAACAUGAACAAAACAUUCUCGGUACUUUGGGUACCCGGAGUCCAACAGAGACCCGCAAGUCCAAAAAAAUCUAAUAGGUACUUUUUCCCAAUCCCGAACAUCAACCUGUAUUUCGUAUUGGUUUGGUUCGUUUAUCAAAUUUGGGUAAAAUUUUUAUACUUAAGAAAUAGUUACAUAAGAGUGUAUAUAAAAAACCUCAAUAAACUUAUUCACAAAUUAUAUAAUUUUAAACAAAUUUUUGUAUUCGAUAUAAUACGACUUUAUAACAUAAUAAUACACAAUAUACUUAAAAUACUAUCUUAUAUCUAACUUCAUAUAUAAUCCAUAAACCCCGCGCUUUCGAAGCGCGGAUCAAAAUCUAGUUGAUAUUUUAAAGCAUCUAAUCACCAUCUAGCGAUUUUUGAACACUGAUCAAAUCUAAUUAUAUAAAAAAUUGUUCGGUUCCCUCCUGCAGUGUCCACGUGGAAAGUCCAUCCCUAUAGGGUUGACACGUGUCUUGCUUCUCCCCAGACCGUGAUUUAUUUUCUCCUUUUUCUCUACUGUUUUGGGCUUCGGUAAACAGGCCCGUAAACAAGAGUGAAGAGGAACCCUAGAUCGCGUUUACAUCGUCGCCUCCGUCCUGUCUUUGCAUUUCCGGUAACGGUUCAGACGAAUCGGGUCGUUGCCACAGGGUUGGGUUAGAUCGGGAGGUCAUUAGAACAGGCGUGUCCUUGGCGAUGGUGCAGGAGACGGAGAAUGACGACCUUGAGCAGGACGUAAAGUUGAGAACUUUGGAGGGUGAUGAUCUCAAAUGGGUCAAUUGGGAAGAGGAAGAUGAUGAUGAAGAAGAUGGAGAAGCGGAGGUUUCGAAACGGAGAUUGAAUUUCAGCGAUCAAGUUCAGCAGACAUCAGCAGCAUAGAUGAUGGUGAGGUGGUACUGAACACAUAGACUGUCAUGGACCAAGUUUAAGCGUUAGUAGGGAUCAAAGCUGAAGAUAGGUUGCUUGACCGAUUGAAAUCUACUAAAACGACUUGAUUUUAGUGCAAUUGGAUUGAUACCACCAUGGAUACGCACCUCUCUGAUCCGAUGGGAAAACAUCUCUGGUAUGCAAUGUAUCCCCAAGAUUUUAGUCCGCCUUUUAGUAAGCUCACUUGCCUUAAGAAUUCCCAGGUCUCUCUUAAACUUUUCUUCAGCAAGUGAUGAUAAGAGAACUCUUCUUCCCAAUGUUCUUGGGAAAUAAAACUCCUAGCCCUUCCUGUUCAGAUUACAUCUCCCUUUGAUGCCUUCCCUAGAUGCAGCUUAUGAUUAUCAGUGUUUCCAUAGACUUUUAUCUAGAUGAAUCUGAUUUAAGAGUUCUCUAAUCUCUGGAUACUUCUAUAAUCCCAAUGCUCCCUUGAAGUUUUGGUUUUGUACAGGUAAAGAGAGUUCUUCACAUUGUGGAGUUGGUGGUAAAAGGAAGCAUAGGCAUUUAAGUUGGAGGAAGGACCUGAAUGGAGAGAAGGAAAAUCAAAGAUUCUCUUUAAUGGCUGGACUGGUAAUGGAAAGAACAAGCGAGAUGGUGAUUCAGAGCCCUCAUCUGGUUCAGCUUCCUGUUAGAAUGUGGGAAAGUCACUAGGCAUAGAUUCACAGAGUUGUCAAGGUACCUUACGAAAAUGCAACUAAUUAUGCAGUAUACUUGGAAGGGUAUGUGAAAGAUAUCUAUAAAUGUUAUUUAGCGAUCCUGAAAAUGCCAAAGCAUUAUAGAAAUAAAGCGAUCCAAGAUUGAAUUAAAUUUUUGUCUUACAUGUAACUAACCUAGAAAAAACUAUAAAUUGAAUGUUGUCGCAUGUUUAACAAGAAAUUGCGAAAGACGGAAGAAGUGAUAAAUAAUUAUAAAUUAAUUUUCUAUCUUUUCGUUAUAAAGAAAAAGGAAUUUCCAGUCAAGUAAUUCAAAAUCAAUAAGACCUUUUUCUUAUCAAACAACUUCCAAAAUAAAAUAUAAAACAGUCGACAUCAUCAAAUAAACAUAAUAAGAAUAUGUGGAAAACUAAAACCAAAUCAAUAAAAACAAAGGAAAUACUCCUACAACUCAUGCAUUUAUUUAGUUAGAAUAUUUGGUAUUAACUUAUAUAUCGAAAUAUGUAUUUUACACUAUAUGUGAUUUUAGAUAUACAUAUAUAUGUGAUUUUAGAUAUAAUUUGAAUAAAAAAUAAAAUAUUAAAAUAAUAAUAAAAGUUAUAAAUGAAUUUUACUUUGAAUAAAAAUAAAUAAUACAAUGUUUUUAUUCUUAUGUAAAUGAGUUAUAUAUAAUAGUUAUUAAUUUAUAAUUUUAGUAGAACCAUUUACAUAAGAAUUUUCUAAAUCUUUAUAAAUCACGGGUUAGCCAAAACCACAGAUUUAAUAAAUUUAUGAAGCCAUGAAAUUUAAUAAUUAUCUAAUAAUAAAUUAUAAAUUAAAAAAUGUAUUCUUAAAUCUGUAUUCUCACAUAUAUACAAAUAUUUGAUUAAUAUACCUAUUAGGUUUCACUAAUACUCUAUCCGUUUAAAAAAAUUAGACAUGUUUUAAAAUUUUCACAUUUUAUAAUAAACCAUAUUAAAAUUUAGUUAUAAAUGCAUAUUUUUUGUACUUUUAUAUUUCCUAUAUUUUUAAACUAAUAAGAUUUUUAAAAAUGCAAUUAAUUUUUUGAACUUCAAAUUUUUUAUUAUUAGUUGACAAAAAUUGCAUUGGAAAUAUAAAAAAAAUUAACUUUUUGAAACAAUUUUUUUUCUCUAGAACAUGCAUCUUUUUGAAAUAGAGGGAGUAUGGGUUAAGAAUAUAAUCUUUUUUUUACAUCAUAAAAAUUUCCUAGGCCUAUUAAACAGAUGCAUUAAUACUUAAUAUUUUAAAUGAAAGAUAAAAAAGUUAAAGAUUAAGUGAGAGAGUAUAUGCAAUUUAUUUAAAUAACUAUGUACUAACCUGAUUGGUAUUUUUGAAAACAUAGUAAUUGUAACACAAAAUAAUAUUUAAUAAUGAAAAAUUAAAUAAAUUGUUCAUAUUUAUUGAGAAUAUUUUUAUUAUAAUUUUACACCGAGUUGUAAUCCAGAAUUAUAUUUUAACUAUAGUUAGCUUUGUAAUAUAUUGUUUUAUGGUAAUAGUUUAAUAAAUAGCAUAGUACAUAGUGAUAUUCUUUAUAGAAGUUUUAGUGUAUUUAACUCCUAUACAACGUUCGUUAUCAAAAAUUAAAAUAAAAAAAGCUCCUAUACAGUGUUUUAAGAAAAAAAAUUUAUUUGGUAUGAAAUAUAUUUUCUAAAUAAGAGAUAAUUUAGUUUUACUAAAAACAGUGAAUAUUUGGUAUUAGCUUUACUUAUUAUAAUUUUAAUAAAAUAUAUUAUAAACAUUAAAUAAAAUAUAAGAAAGAAAAAUUUCCUACGAUAGUUUUUUUUAAGUUUUUGUCAUAAAAACAGCAUUCAACGAAAAAAAUGACCAAAAUAUUUUAUUAAAGAGCAAAAAUACAUCUAGAGUUAAUGGGUUGAGUUAACUAAUCUAUACUUUGUUUUAGAGUUAAUGGGUUGAGUUUUGAGGGAUAGAGUUUCAAAUUUUUAAAAUUAAAAAAUUAAUAUAAAACUUUUCAAAAUAAAAAAAGGCUAUUUUGAUAAUUUUUCUUAUUAAACGUUAUUUUGUGAAAAAAACUUAAAAAAUGUUAUUUAAAAUAAUUGCCAUAUAAAAAAUGUAAUAAACAAAAACAUGAUAUAAAUGACAUAUCAUAUAAACAACAAUCGUAAACAAGCAAAAUAUAUCUUAUCACAUAUAAUCUCUUCUCACAUAAAACUUUCUAAAAGACAAAAAAUCAUUAUUAUAUACAGUUCUUGCAAAUGCAAACCUGAAACACAAAUCAUAAAAUCGUACAAAACUUAAUAACCAUAGAUCACAAUUAAAGUAUAUCCCGCCCGUAGGGCGGGCCGACCCUAGUUAGAUAGAUAAUAAUGGAUAUUGCAAAUAUAACCACAAGGAUGCAUUGUACUUUGUACUAGAAUGUGAUGGGCUCAUUAUAGCCAUUAUUGUUUCAAGUCGACAAAAUAAUUAAUUAAGCUUUGUUAUCGAAAUCUAUAUAUAUAUCUUAAGCAGUGGUUAGUACUACAAGAAUAAUGUCACUUGAUUUGAUGGUGUAGUUUUAGGUUUCUAGUGUUUUUACGUUUAAGCACUCUACAUUCAAAUAAUAAAAACCUGACUUAGACUGGGUUAUGUUUCCCUGUGAUGUUAAAUGUGUUUAUGCUGUCUAUGACUCUAUGUAUUCAAUAUUCAAUAUACAAUAAAUAAUAUACUGAUUGUUAAAUAUGUUGACCAAAGAAAAACCGAUCAUUAUGGAGGUGGAAACAUAAUAAAACAUAUUUAUCUGCUGGCCUAGUCUUCCCAAAUAUGGAAUCCAAAAUUCUUGGAAAGAUAGAAAGAAAAGAUUUGGAUUAUUAUUUUUCAUGUAUAAUUAUCUGUUGUGAUUUUAUGUGCAAAUCUUGCUUCAUACAUGUUUUUAAAACUUUUAUACGAAGAUCUUGCUUUUUGUUAAAAUAUGUUAUCUAAAAACAUAAGAUUGAACAAAGAAGCAGUGUAAACUGUAUAAUCUUUAAUUACUGUAAAUUUUUUGCCUAUUUAUCUUAACAUAAUAUAAUCGAUGGGAUAUAACUGCAAAUAUGUAUACAUUUAUAUUUGUAAAAAUACGGUGAAUCGCAUAAUGAAGUUUCUCUUUCACAAUUCUAUAAUUUACCGAUUACAUUUGUUUAUCCAAGAAAGAUUACCGAAAUGGGGUUUCUAAAAGAUGAAAAUGAGGAAGACAAGAGGAUCUGAUAAGAUUGUAUCUUAACAUCUGUAGCCAUUCAUCCCUUAAGCCAAUUCAGUCGCUUGGUACAGUGUACCAAUGCCAUUAAUAAUUUUAGUUUAAAAUAUAUUCUGAGUUAGUGGAAGUGUUUUUUCACGUAAUUAUUGAUUACGAUACUGAAUAUAUUAAUAGACAAUUAGUCAUCAUGAUUAGCGUCUAAAAAGGAAAUUCGAAACAUGACCCAAUUAAGAAAGAACAAACCUUUAAAGAUACAUAUCAACAUAAGUCUGAACUUUCUGUAUUCACAUUAUGUUUUGAUACAUAUGUAUGAACUUUCGUCAUUGGUGGUUUAAAAUUUCAUAUGGUUCAUUAUUCUUCUUAAUAAGAUAGAUGUUUUGUCGAUUUAAUUUUGAAAUAAUUUAUACAAAAAUGGAAAAUGUUCAUUUGUAGUGAAAAUGACAAUUCGAAUUUUCUCAAACUGAAGAACACAAUUUCUAAGAUUUUUUAGAAGCUCUGAAUAGAUUUCACAAAUCAUCUGAACUCCCAAUCCAAAAUUCAUCUCCAUUACUGGGGUUUAGCUUUCUCGGAAACUCUACUCGUGAAAUGGUCGAAAAUUUGAAAUUGCUUUCUGACCUAAUGGUAGUUGUAAUUAGGAAACUAAACAAUCUUAGGGUGAAAAGCAUUCUUUCAGUGCAAUGAAAAAAAAAAGAGUUAAACUUAUAAGCUUAAACAAUUUGUCAUUUUUUUGAGCUGUAAACGUUUUCUUUGAGAAGGGCCAAGGAACAAAAAUGAAUGUUACUCUUAACCACAUAUUCACGAGUAGAAUCUUUAGCAGAUUGGGUUGUCAUACAUACAAAGGGUGGCUUAUAUGAACAACAGAAUUAAAUGUUUAAUUCAUGAAAUUAAUAGAAAGGGAAAAAGUAGGUCUGACAUAAGAAUUCAUUGGACAAAAUAGUCACACACACAACACAUAUGGCCUUUUCCCCGGCUGUGUUACACACGCGCCACCUUUGAAAAGCCGGUUUAAAUCGAAGACCUCUCAAUCUGUUUACAGAUUUGACAGACCAGGUGUGCUCUUUUACCCAGUCACUAUAAAACACGUGUUUGAAACUCUGUAGAACUCUUAGCAAGGAGCCAAGGAUUGGACCAAACAAAACAAAAGAAAGAAGAUCUCUCUCUCUCUCUCUCUCUCUCUCUCUCUCUCUCUCUCUCUCUCUCUCUCUCUCUCUCCCCUUUAUAUACCGACUGUGUCGCCAUUGGCAGAAAGCAAUGCUCAUCAAACAGCUAGAUCUCUGAGAAUUAAAAUACGAUCGAAUUGAGGAUUUUCUCUUGUGUUCACUAGGGUUUGGAGAGAUCUGUGAGAACGGGGAGUUAGGAUGAGAGAUUUUGAGUCUUUUUGCACGGAAAAUCUAUGUGGGUUUUAUUUAAUUAUAAGUUGCUAGAAGACAGAGAAGAAAUGCAACAGAGAAAACUGACAGAAGAGAGUGAGCACUUGCAAGGCACUGUUAUGUGUCAAUAACUUUGCGUGUGCGUGCUCACCUCUCUUUCUGUCAGUUGCCUGACUUCUCGCUUUCUCUCUCUCUUCUCUCAACUUUGUUGGCCUUUUUAUCAUCUACAUAUCACUUACCUUCUUAUCAUCUCUUUUGUUGUGCACUGGAAUGGUGAUGUGGAUAAGACUGACGCCCUUUCAUUAUCAUUUCGUUACGGGUUACGUUUUUUUCUUUAGCUUUUUUUCGUUACGGGUUGCGGGUUCUUGCGGGCAUAUUCUCUAGAAUGUUUCUUCUCAAGCAGUUUGGUGGAGUAAAGCUCAGAUUUAUAGAUCAGAUUUUGUGAAGUGUGCUAUAUUGUUUUCUUCUACCGGAUCUAGGAAAAGCGCGAGUUUUGAUGAUCAUGAACCCCCACCGGAGAAUGAGAUCAAUAUCAAGUGGGAAGAUACUUCAAAUAUAUAAAUUUCAACGUUGAAAGUGUAGCAAUCAGAGACGCGUUUCUCAGUCAUGGUGGAUUCAAUGGGGUUUCUUGACUUGAAACUAAAGAUUGGCAAGAGCACUUGUUGGUUACUCUAUUCUGAGGCAUUUGUCGAUUUCUCUCUGCUUUUUGUAGUCAAGAACUUGGUUCAUGUGGAUGGUGUCAGUUUGAAGGUCUUAGCGUAAAAGAUGAUACGCCAAAAUCUGUCAUGAAAGUGCUUCAGUAAUCCAAUCCUCAGAGACUCAGAAACAGCAAAAGAGGGGAAUCAUAACAUAAGAAGCAAGGGGGUGUAUGGAAAAGGUGUUCUCGAUAUAAUCAAGUACACUAUCUUGAUAACAAACAUUCAAGAUGGGUAUAGUAUUUUGUCCUUGGUUUAAAUUUAGGGUUCAUGAAAGUGAUUAAUCAGUAGACAUGAUUUUGUUUUGAACUAAUGCUCUGAAAUAAGUUAGUCAUUCACUAGUUAGUCUUACCAAUAAUAACAUGGAAAUAGAAAGAGGACAACUACAAGGGCAAGUUCUCUUCCAAAAACACUUGGCAUCUAAUGCUGUGUUAUGCUUAUGGAGCCCAAAUGCGUGGUUCACACAUGCAACGCUCAAAUACACCCAUUAAAAGAUAAGUGGGGUCUUCCGUUUUCAUUCUUUGUUUUGUCUGAUUAAUCAUUCUACCCUCUUACUGCAAUUCAAGGAUAUGAUAGGUGUAGCACUGAAUGGCUUGAUGAUCAGUCGAUGGAAAGGGCUUAAGAGAUUCUAAAAGCAGAAGAUGGAGACUGGUAAGUCUGCUACGCAGCUCAUAGACACUCUUGUUCUUGAUACAGGCGCAUUGAGGUUAGAUUACACCCAUUCUUCACCUAUACACUAAGUAAGGGUCCAGACGAAGCCAAGAGAGUUGCAAGGACAUUUCAGCAAAACCAUCAAAUACAUUGAAUAUACCACUGCAUAUCCAAGUAUUUUUUUUAAUAUCUGCAUCUAGUCCAAUGAAAUGGAAAACAUCUGAGAGGAAAAACUGUGAUGAUUCAAGAACAUAUAUAUAUAUCGAAAAAGACUGCAUCAGCGGAGCCAAGGAGUACUAUAGCUUCACUUGCAUUACGGGUUUUAAUACGUGGGUGAACCGAGGUUCAACGAAUGGUAGUAAGAGUGUCAGAGAAAUAGAAGAUGGGUUUCUUCUUCACAGAGUUAGCUUCUCACACUUUGUUACUUAUACUAUCAACUUGUCAGGACAAGUCAUAGAACACAAGAAUAGUUAAGCAAAGGAAAAGAGACCAUCUAAGACUUCAUAUUAUUUGUGUGUUGUACUCCAUUGUUGUACACUGUGUAAAGCACAAACAUUUUAAAGGUAUUCUAUAUUUUCUCAGUUA